RNAcentral lists this ribosomal RNA (510 nucleotides) under uncultured bacterium. RNAcentral describes it as "bacterial SSU rRNA". It matches the Rfam family "Bacterial small subunit ribosomal RNA", at positions 10 to 509 of the family's 1533-position model. The record is from RNAcentral.
AGUUUGAUCCUGGCUCAGGAUGAACGCUAGCUACAGGCUUAACACAUGCAAGUCGAGGGGCAGCAUGAUCGAAGCUUGCUUUGAUUGAUGGCGACCGGCGCACGGGUGAGUAACGCGUAUCCAACCUUCCCUAUAGUAGAGGAUAGCCCGGCGAAAGUCGGAUUAAUACUCUAUGUUUUCCAAUGCAGACAUCUAAGUUGGAACAAAGGUUCACCGCUAUAGGAUGGGGAUGCGUCUGAUUAGGUAGUCGGCGGGGUAACGGCCCACCGAGCCAACGAUCAGUAGGGGUUCUGAGAGGAAGGUCCCCCACAUUGGAACUGAGACACGGUCCAAACUCCUACGGGAGGCAGCAGUGAGGAAUAUUGGUCAAUGGGCGAGAGCCUGAACCAGCCAAGUAGCGUGCAGGAUGACGGCCCUAUGGGUUGUAAACUGCUUUUAUACGGGGAUAAAGUGAGGGACGUGUCCCUUAUUGUAGGUACCGUAUGAAUAAGGACCGGCUAAUUCCGUGCC